CGGUUUACCCAACAAAUAAGCUGAUCUAGGGUUUGUUUGUGUUCAAUUUCACCAACACAUAUACUUUUAUGCUUUUCAAUCAAAGGAUCUCUCACAAGAAACCAAUGAUAACAUCCGUGAAUCGUUCAAUUAUUCGUUUGGUCUUCCGGUAUCUACACAUACACUUGAGUUAAAGCUUCGAUGUUCGAUGUUUUGAAGAAACACAACGAUAACUUCGCGAACAGUACAUGUAUUUUGAAAUCCAAAUUGAAUGAGAAAGGUGAAUUCAUCGAGCGUGUUAGGGUUUGUUUUUAAUAUAUCAUAUUACAGUUUUCUCCUGGUUUCACUUGCUUGUUUUCUUCAGAGGUGAUCGUACCCUAUUGUAAGGUAUCCCACUCAGAUCUAUCAAGACAUGUGGCGACCAACACUUCUUCAUAUGAUUAUCCAAUCGUUGAUGUCUGCUUCAGAUUCAAAUCUUUCAAAUAACUUAAGAGUGUUACUACCCAUGUAAUGUAGGUGGGAAUGGCUUAACCGAAGGUUAUCAUCACAAUGGGCUGCGCUAAGAAGCCAAUGGAUGAUGUUUUACAGAAGUGUUUGUGUUGGCCCAGCUCCCUGUUAAAUUAAUCCCAGAAUAGAAAAUAAUUGAUAAACAGAGAUUUUCACAAAACAAAAUGGAUAAACACUUUUAUAUAUUGUGUCAAAAAGGAUGGAGCAAAUUAUGGAUCACUCUAUGUUCCUUUGUUGCAGAAACUCAGUAAACACAGGAAAUUUAUACGGUUCUAGUUGCAAGUAUAAACUGAAGAUGUUGGUUUCGGUUGCAAGUAUGAAGACUUGGGUUCGGAAGGUUAUUGUAUAUCGUUUUCAUCUUUAAACAUUAACGUAUUUGUG
RNAcentral lists this long non-coding RNA (867 nucleotides) under Helianthus annuus (common sunflower). RNAcentral describes it as "sRNA HanXRQr2_Chr14g0662791". Lineage: Eukaryota; Viridiplantae; Streptophyta; Magnoliopsida; Asterales; Asteraceae. The record is from RNAcentral.